This 404-nucleotide ribosomal RNA is filed under the name uncultured Pseudoflavonifractor sp. RNAcentral's name for it is "bacterial SSU rRNA". It matches the Rfam family "Bacterial small subunit ribosomal RNA", at positions 354 to 773 of the family's 1533-position model. Lineage: Bacteria; Bacillati; Bacillota; Clostridia; Eubacteriales; Oscillospiraceae. The record is from RNAcentral.
UGGGGGAAUAUUGGGCAAUGGGCGCAAGCCUGACCCAGCAACGCCGCGUGAAGGAAGAAGGCUUUCGGGUUGUAAACUUCUUUUGUCGGGGACGAGUAGAAGACGGUACCUGGCGAAUAAGCCACGGCUAACUACGUGCCAGCAGCCGCGGUAAUACGUAGGUGGCAAGCGUUGUCCGGAUUUACUGGGUGUAAAGGGCGUGUAGCCGGGAAGGCAAGUCAGAUGUGAAAUCCACGGGCUUAACUCGUGAACUGCAUUUGAAACUGAAGUUCUUGAGUGCUGGAGAGGCUAACGGAAUUCCUAGUGUAGCGGUGAAAUGCGUAGAUAUUAGGAAGAACACCAGUGGCGAAGGCGGUUAGCUGGACAGUAACUGACGCUGAGGCGCGAAAGCGUGGGGAGCAAAC